AUGAAGAAUUAAGGCUGCGAGAAAGGAAGACAAUGUGGCUUCCAAAUCGAAAAAAUAAAACAAGCUUUCCAUUCAAUUUAUAGAGACUCUCCUGCCCACCCUACACACCAGCUCACAUUGUACAAGUCAUGCACUACUGAGAACAGUAAAUACCUCACAUUAGCUGUAUGGGAAAGUGCGGAAGAACGUCGAGGAGAUAGGCGAUGGAAGCUAGCCAGACCCUUCCGUGGGAAAAGGAGCAUCAGCAGGGCAUGUUGACCCAUAGUCACGUGGUUCAGCCUGUGCCAGGGUGGCGCUGCACCUGGGCUUUGAAUCGGGAAUAACAGUGAGCUCAACAUGCUUACUGCGCAUGUGUAUGGUACAUAAAAACUUCAUCUAGUGCCCCCCCACAGUGUUCCUCACCCUGGACCGACGCUCAGCGGUGCCAGGGAUCCCCCGCUCCAUUAUUGCCUCGAUCGGGAAAACGCCGGGGAACCCCCACCCAGAUGCAGAGCGUUUGACCAAAAAAAGUAGCCAGUGGCAAUGGACUAAAGAGCAGCAGCAAGCCUUUGACCUGUGCGAGGAGGCGGUGGUCCAACAUUCCAAACUAGUCACUCCGCAUGAGGGACAACCUUUCGAGAUGGAGGUAAUGGUUAUGGGGGAUACGGUGUCUUGGGGGUUGUGGCAGGAAUGUGCCCAUGCAAGGCAGGAACCUGUAGGUUUCUGGUCCUGUUCCCUGCAAGGGGCCACAGCAAACUGCACACCUCUGGAGAAACAGCUUUUGGCUGUAGUGUGGGCUUUGCAGGAUACCGAAGGAGUUACAGGACGUGACCCGGUGACUGUACACACCCCCAUCACCAUUCAGGCAUGGGUGAUGGAUGAUACAGUCAGGGCCCAUGUAGGGGUGGCCCAAGCUGCAACGCAGUGGAAAUGGAAACACUGUCUACGAGCCCGGUUUAAGGGAGGAGAAAGAACAUGAGUACCCCACAUGCCUUGGGGUACCUUAACCUUGUUAAGGGAAGUACGUUUUGAGCAAAUGCCUCUAUUGUCUGAGCCAGAGGGGCCGCCCCCGCCUUGCUCCCCCAAUAGAGCCAUUGCCUGUCCAAGAGGCCCCUCCUUUUGGGACGUUAUCUCCUGAGCGAGUACAAGCCAAACUGACCCUAGCAAUCCCUGCUCGGAUAUCUGUAAUGGAAGGGGGGAUUGCCCCCCCCCCCCCCCCCCCCCGCAUACUUGCCUCUGGGGAGGUAGAAUUCUAUACAUCUGAGCAACUUAGGAUUACUGAACGAAGAGUUAUAAGCUUACAUUUAAGACUGGACUGCCCUUCACAGUGUGUAUGGCUGUUUACACCUUUGAUACCUGCUAAAAUAGCCCCACUCUUAUUGACCUCUUCUCAAGAUUUAUCUUUCCAGGUAUCCGUAUCCACGCCAGUGAAUGUCUCACAGGGAGCACCAAUACUGCGAGGAAUCCUGAUCCACAGUGCCGGAGUGCCUCAAGUUCAGCAAACACCCUCAAUACACUCUUUAGCCAGUGUGUGGGUACUAACUCCUCAAAAGGAAAAACAGCCUGGCACUGUUUUAGCAGAUGGUCCAGGAGCCACUGCUCUAGUUCUUCCUGAUGGCGAUACCAUGCCUUUCUAUCUUCCCAUCAACAGGUUAUCACGCCGGCAUCUGGAAGUUGCCGUUGGAAUGUUGCCUCUUGCUGACCAUGACAGAUGCCCUUGAUCUACAAGACCAUCCAGCCUCCCAUGUAAAUACAUGGAUUUGGCUGGCACAAAGAUCAGCUAACCUCUCUGCUUUCUGUGUUGCAGGCGAACGAUCAGUGGAUGAUGUCUUAACUGCGUGUUACAUAGGUGUACCAGCUCCACUCGUGGUAUUGCAGAGUUAUACAAAAAAUUGAUAUUUCUGUUACUCCCAUGAAUUUCUACGAUUUGGGUAUUGUUUCCCAAAAGCUGACACCUUGGGCUUACUCUUUCCAUAUAGCUAACAUAUCUAAAGCAGAUACUUGCUUUCGCUUUGUAAAUGCUGCCUCUGUUCUGCAGAAUGUAACUGAUAUGCAGUUAAUUUGUAAUGACACUAUGGAUGUUACCUAUGCAUCUGCUUAUCUCAUACUACCACUAGGAUGGUUCCUUCUGUGUGGCACUACAGCAUAUACAUAUGUGCCGGCUGAUGCCAGAGGUGUGUAGGUCGUGUUACUUUAAGCAUCCCUCCCUUUAUGAUGGAGCGGCGGAGGACCCGGUGGCAUAUCCUAAGACGCUGCUUGUAACCCCCAUAUAAGUUUAUUUUCUCAUGCAGAAGCUCUAGGCCUAUUGUGGAGCCUAGCUGGGAUCCCGGGGGUGGUGGCACAUGAUUGCAAACAGUUAGAGCAUGUUACCUGUGCUUUGGCUCAAAGCUUAAACUGGCCAUCCAGAGCCAUUGCCUCUUUAAAUAGGGAGUUGGGAGCAGUGUAGCAAGGAACACUGCAAAACCACCUAGGGAUUGACUGUCUCCUACUGCGAGAUAACCACAGACACCAUGACUUCGCCAGGAUGUGCUGUCUCAACAUCACCGAUGAAUUGGCAUCUAUUGAGAAUAUCAGCCACCUCAUACAGGGAGGACUCCUGUCUAUCUCUUGCUUUGUAUUAUGCUAUGUUUUGAUUUCAUUACUUUGUAAACUCUCUUGCCCUCAUACCCCAUGCCCUUCUGAGGAUUGGGACGGCCUGUAACUAGCUUUCCAUCGCGGGGGUGGAGUGUAUGGGAAAGUGCGGAAGAACGUCGAGGAGAUAGGCGAUGGAAGCUAGCCAGACCCUUCCGUGGGAAAAGGAGCAUCAACAGGGCAUGUUGACCCAUAGUCACGUGGUUCAGCCUGUGCCAGGGUGGCGCUGCACCUGGGCUUUGAAUCGGGAAUAACAGUGAGCUCAACAUGCUUACUGCGCAUGUGUAUGGUACAUAAAAACUUCAUCUAGUGCCCCCCCCCCCAUAGUGUUCCUCACCCUGGACCGAUGCUCAGCGGUGCCAGGGAUCCCCCGCUCCAUUAUUGCCUCGAUCGGGAAAACGCCGGGGAACCCCUGUUCAGAUGCAGAGAUAAUAAAUGCUCCAUAUCGAC
Molecule: long non-coding RNA, 3060 nt
Organism: Dromaius novaehollandiae (emu)
Lineage: Eukaryota; Metazoa; Chordata; Aves; Casuariiformes; Dromaiidae
Exons: 2
Source: RefSeq, a predicted model, not a curated record